UUUUUGUAUUACGACUAAAGGACCCGAAUUUAGGUGAUCCAAAAUUUUUUUUUUUCCUCGUAAUAAAGAGGAUUUAAAAUAAAAAGUUCUAAAAAAGAAAAUCGGACCUAAAAAACUGGUAUUGAUCAAUUCAGGAAGUAAACAAAAAUCACAAUAUCAAAGAGGAUAUGAAUAGGAAAAAAUUAAUUUCAAAAAUUUUGAAAAAAAUUUGGAAAAAAAGGAAUAUAGAUCAAUUUCAAAAAUAAUCUUUAGAGAAAAAAUUUAUUUAAAAGAAUUCAAAACAGCAGUCCCCGACUGUUUAACAAAAACAUUUCUUCUAUAAAAGAUUAGAAGUAGGCCCUGCUCACAUAAAAAAUUAAAAAAGCCAAAUCUUUGCUAAGGUAGCAUAAUUACUAGCCGCUUAAUUGGCGGAUUGUCUGAAUGGGUUAACGCGGGAAAAAUUUUCUAUAAAUAUAGUAAAAUAAGUUGGAUGUUAAAUCUCAUCCAAAAUAUAAAAAGACGAUAAGACCCUUUAAUCUUUGUUAUAUCAUAAAAUAAUUGUUGGGGCAACAGAGAAUAUAAUUUUCUUUUUCUGAAAUAAUACUAUUUUAAUAAUAGGAAAGAUACUAAAGGGAUAACAGCAUAAUAUUUUCAUAGAAGACCAAAUUCUAAGAAAAGAGUAUGACCUCGAUGUUGAACCAGAGAAAAU
This 688-nucleotide ribosomal RNA is filed under the name Spadella cephaloptera. RNAcentral's name for it is "partial 16S ribosomal RNA". Lineage: Eukaryota; Metazoa; Chaetognatha; Sagittoidea; Phragmophora; Spadellidae. The record is from RNAcentral.